UAGGUGCAAGCCACUUCAAUAGAGGGACCAGAGGGUGCAACCACAGAGCCAGGAAAGAUCAUAACGGCAAAGGCUGUCGGUGGGCUGAUUGUGAGGUCAGAACUAAAAAACAUUUUCAAAUUUAAGUACACAAGGAAGCUGGCUCAGGAAUCAAGUGCCCCAGAAUCAGAGGACUUCACAACAUGAUCUCUUGCGCACUAGACCGUAAGCAUGGAGCAGGAGCCACAUCCUGCUCAUAAAUAUGACACGGGAUGCCCCCAACUGUAAGUGGCGCCAUUUCCAUGGGGCUCGUGGUAAAGAUGCCCACCUCCUUUCGUCCUGUACUCAUAGACCCUGAGUCCCUUGUAGAAGAGAAAGAGAUUGCUCGCUUUCCUAAUGCCCUGUCGACCUUGAGUACAGAGAGAAAGUGUAUCUCAGCUGGAGCAGGGGCUGGCCCAAAGUGUGGCGACACUGAAUCACCAGGUGAUGUCUAGCCACCCUGGCCUGCCUUCAGCAAGAAUCCUGUUAGGUUGGUUUAGCAAGAAUAACCCUAACCUCUUAGCAGUUUCCAUCCACCAACUCCCCUACUCUGCUCCUUGGCUGUAAAUUCCUACUGUUCCUGGUUGUAUUCAGAGUUGAGCCUAAUCUCUCUCUCCUACAGCAAAAUCCCAUCGCAAUCAUCUCUACACCUAUGGCAAUAAUCCUGCAUAAAGUCUGC
RNAcentral lists this long non-coding RNA (697 nucleotides) under Equus caballus (horse). RNAcentral describes it as "lncRNA (ENSECAG00000036243.3)". Lineage: Eukaryota; Metazoa; Chordata; Mammalia; Perissodactyla; Equidae. The record is from RNAcentral.